UGCAGUCGAACGGCAGCACGGCAGUAGCAAUACUGUGGGUGGCGAGUGGCGGACGGGUGAGGAAUACGUCGGAAUCUGCCCAAUCGUGGGGGAUAACUAACCGAAAGGUUAGCUAAUACCGCAUACGACCGAGAGGUGAAAGCGGGGGACCGCAAGGCCUCGCGCGAUUGGAUGAGCCGACGUCGGAUUAGCUUGUUGGUGGGGUAAAGGCCUACCAAGGCAACGAUCCGUAGCUGGUCUGAGAGGAUGAUCMGCCMCMCUGGAACUGAGACACGGUCCAGACUCCUACGGGAGGCAGCAGUGGGGAAUAUUGGACAAUGGGCGCAAGCCUGAUCCAGCAAUGCCGCGUGUGUGAAGAAGGCCUUCGGGUUGUAAAGCACUUUUAUCAGGAACGAAAAGCGUUGGAUUAAUACUCUGACGUGCUGACGGUACCUGAGGAAUAAGCACCGGCUAACUUCGUGCCAGCAGCCGCGGUAAUACGAAGGGUGCAAGCGUUAAUCGGAAUUACUGGGCGUAAAGCGUGCGUAGAUGGUUCGCUAAGUCGGAUGUGAAAGCCCCGGGCUCAACCUGGGAAUGGCGAUGGAUACUGGCUCGCUAGAGUGCGGUAGAGGAGAGUGGAAUUCCCGGUGUAGCAGUGAAAUGCGUAGAGAUCGGGAGGAACAUCAGUUGCGAAGGCGGCUCUCUGGACCAACACUGACACUGAGGCACGAAAGCGUGGGGAGCAAACAGGAUUAGAUACCCUGGUAGUCCACGCCCUAAACGAUGCGAACUGGACGUUGGGAGCAACUAGGCUCUCAGUGUCGAAGCUAACGCGUUAAGUUCGCCGCCUGGGGAGUAC
RNAcentral lists this ribosomal RNA (838 nucleotides) under uncultured bacterium. RNAcentral's name for it is "bacterial SSU rRNA". It matches the Rfam family "Bacterial small subunit ribosomal RNA", at positions 56 to 883 of the family's 1533-position model. The record is from RNAcentral.